UACGUAGGUGGCAAGCGUUGUCCGGAUUUACUGGGCGUAAAGAGCGCGCAGGCGGUCGUUCAAGUCGCGUGUGAAAGCCCCCGGCUCAACUGGGGAGGGUCACGCGAUACUGAUCGACUCGAAGGCAGGAGAGGGUAGUGGAAUUCCUGGUGUAGCGGUGAAAUGCGCAGAUAUCAGGAAGAACACCAAUGGCGAAAGCAGCUCUCUGGGACGGUACUGACGCUGAGACGCGAAAGCGUGGGGAGCGAACAGG
RNAcentral lists this ribosomal RNA (253 nucleotides) under uncultured bacterium. Its description in RNAcentral is "partial 16S ribosomal RNA". It matches the Rfam family "Bacterial small subunit ribosomal RNA", at positions 524 to 776 of the family's 1533-position model. The record is from RNAcentral.